This 439-nucleotide ribosomal RNA is filed under the name uncultured bacterium. RNAcentral describes it as "bacterial SSU rRNA". It matches the Rfam family "Bacterial small subunit ribosomal RNA", at positions 958 to 1398 of the family's 1533-position model. The record is from RNAcentral.
AACGCGAAGAACCUUACCAAGGUUUGACAUGGGCCGAAAACUCGCAGAGAUGCGGGGUCCUUCGGGGCGGUUCACAGGUGGUGCAUGGCUGUCGUCAGCUCGUGUCGUGAGAUGUUGGGUUAAGUCCCGCAACGAGCGCAACCCUCGUCCUAUGUUGCCAGCGGGUCAUGCCGGGGACUCAUGGGAGACUGCCGGGGUCAACUCGGAGGAAGGUGGGGAUGACGUCAAGUCAUCAUGCCCCUUAUGUCUUGGGCUGCAAACAUGCUACAAUGGCCGGUACAGAGGGCUGCGAGCCUGCAAGGGUGAGCGAAUCCCGGAAAGCCGGUCUCAGUUCGGAUCGGGGUCUGCAACUCGGCCCCGUGAAGCCGGAGUCGCUAGUAAUCGCGGAUCAGCAACGCCGCGGUGAAUACGUUCCCGGGCCUUGUACACACCGCUAGUC